RNAcentral lists this transfer RNA (70 nucleotides) under Chaetobranchopsis orbicularis. RNAcentral's name for it is "tRNA-Asp". It matches the Rfam family "tRNA". Rfam says of the family: Transfer RNA (tRNA) molecules are approximately 80 nucleotides in length. Their secondary structure includes four short double-helical elements and three loops (D, anti-codon, and T loops). RNAcentral also lists the same sequence under 1 other name. The record is from RNAcentral. Lineage: Eukaryota; Metazoa; Chordata; Actinopteri; Cichliformes; Cichlidae.
AAGACACUAGUAAAAUAAAUUACAUUAUCUUGUCAAGGCAAUAUUGUGGGUUAAAUUCCCACGUGUCUUA